Molecule: ribosomal RNA, 447 nt
Filed under: uncultured bacterium
Lineage: Bacteria
Description: bacterial SSU rRNA
Rfam family: Bacterial small subunit ribosomal RNA
Source: RNAcentral
UGGGGAAUUUUGGACAAUGGGCGCAAGCCUGAUCCAGCCAUGCCGCGUGAGUGACGAAGGCCUUAGGGUUGUAAAGCUCUUUUGGCGGGGAAGAUAAUGACGGUACCCGCAGAAUAAGCUCCGGCUAACUUCGUGCCAGCAGCCGCGGUAAUACGAAGGGAGCUAGCGUUGUUCGGAAUCACUGGGCGUAAAGCGCACGUAGGUGGAUAGUUAAGUGAGGGGUGAAAGCCCGAGGCUCAACCUCGGAAUUGCCUCUCAUACUGGCUGUCUCGAGUCCGAGAGAGGUGGGUGGAAUUCCUAGUGUAGAGGUGAAAUUCGUAGAUAUUAGGAAGAACACCGGUGGCGAAGGCGGCCCACUGGCUCGGUACUGACACUGAGGUGCGAAAGCGUGGGGAGCAAACAGGAUUAGAUACCCCCGUAGUCCCUGAGCGGGCUGGCAAGGCGCAU